CUUUUAAUAUUUUGUUGUGGACAUAUGUAUAUUGCUGAUUAAGAACGAUGGUGAAAUCAAAAUUAAGCGGACUAAGUUUCGAAAUUAUAGUUUUUUGAAGUUCUAAUAUUUUGGGGAUAUUAUGUGUUAUGUUAAAUAAGUCUAUAUUGUCCUUAAAGCACAUUUGUCGUGAUCUAAUGAUUUUUUAUGCCUAUAAUUAUCCGAGGUACCGAAUUGAAACCGGUGUGUCAGAAAAAUUGUUUGAAGUUUUUUUUUUCCUUUUUAUCUAAACAAAUAAAAAACAAAUGCGUUUGGAUUUGCCUAAGCCAUCACUCCCUCAGACUAUUUUAAUCACAAAAUACCCCUCGAUUUAUUGUGCAAACUUUACCAGAAAUCUUUCCCAAAUAUAUCAAGUGUAGAUUAUUUUCUUAUAGGAAAUUGUAUCUCCAUGGUAAUUUAGAGAUUUCACUUUUUGAUUUUUCAAAUGGUUUUCAUAAUAUCUG
This is a non-coding RNA of Cinara cedri, 482 nucleotides long. The record is from the annotation of a GenBank genome assembly. Lineage: Eukaryota; Metazoa; Arthropoda; Insecta; Hemiptera; Aphididae.